Molecule: ribosomal RNA, 490 nt
Filed under: uncultured bacterium
Lineage: Bacteria
Description: partial 16S ribosomal RNA
Rfam family: Bacterial small subunit ribosomal RNA
Source: RNAcentral
AGUGAACGCUGGCGGCAGGCCUAACACAUGCAAGUCGAACGGCAGCACAAGAGAGCUUGCUCUCUGGGUGGCGAGUGGCGGACGGGUGAGGAAUGCAUCGGAAUCUGCCCAUUUGUGGGGGAUAACCUCGGGAAACCGGGACUAAUACCGCAUACGACCUCCGGGUGAAAGCAGGGGAUCUUCGGACCUUGCGCCGAUGGAUGAGCCGAUGCCGGAUUAGCUAGUUGGAGGGGUAACGGCCCACCAAGGCGACGAUCCGUAGCUGGUCUGAGAGGAUGAUCAGCCACACUGGAACUGAGACACGGCCCAGACUCCUACGGGAGGCAGCAGUGGGGAAUAUUGGACAAUGGGCGCAAGCCUGAUCCAGCCAUGCCGCGUGUGUGAAGAAGGCCUUCGGGUUGUAAAGCACUUUUGUUGGGAAAGAAAAGCAGCCGGUUAAUACCCGGUUGUAAUGACGGUACCCAAAGAAUAAGCACCGGCUAACUUCGUG